Molecule: ribosomal RNA, 484 nt
Filed under: uncultured bacterium
Lineage: Bacteria
Description: partial 16S ribosomal RNA
Rfam family: Bacterial small subunit ribosomal RNA
Source: RNAcentral
AUUGAACGCUGGCGGCAGGCCUAACACAUGCAAGUCGAGCGGAUGAAGGGAGCUUGCUCCUGGAUUCAGCGGCGGACGGGUGAGUAAUGCCUAGGAAUCUGCCUGGUAGUGGGGGAUAACGUCCGGAAACGGGCGCUAAUACCGCAUACGUCCUGAGGGAGAAAGUGGGGGAUCUUCGGACCUCACGCUAUCAGAUGAGCCUAGGUCGGAUUAGCUAGUUGGUGGGGUAAAGGCCUACCAAGGCGACGAUCCGUAACUGGUCUGAGAGGAUGAUCAGUCACACGAGAAUUGAGACACGGUCCAGACGCCUACGGGAGGCAGCAGUGGGGAAUAUUGGACAAUGGGCGAAAGCCUGAUCCAGCCAUGCCGCGUGUGUGAAGAAGGUCUUCGGAUUGUGAAGCACUUUAAGUUGGGAGGAAGGGCAGUAAGUUAAUACCUUGCUGUUUUGACGUUACCAACAGAAUAAGCACCGGCUAACUUCGUG